CUGUUUGGCCAUGCCACCCCGAACAAGCCCAAUCCCAUCUGAUCUCAGAAGCUAAGCAAGGUCGGGCCUGGUUAGUACGAAGAUGGGAGACCACCUAGGAAGAUCAGAUGCUGUAGGCA
Molecule: ribosomal RNA, 119 nt
Filed under: Pteropus alecto (black flying fox)
Lineage: Eukaryota; Metazoa; Chordata; Mammalia; Chiroptera; Pteropodidae
Source: RNAcentral